RNAcentral lists this unclassified non-coding RNA (312 nucleotides) under plant metagenome. RNAcentral describes it as "partial contains 5.8S ribosomal RNA, internal transcribed spacer 2, and large subunit ribosomal RNA". The stretch from base 1 to 105 matches the Rfam family "5.8S ribosomal RNA", at positions 50 to 154 of the family's 154-position model. The record is from RNAcentral.
GAAAUGCGAUAAGUAAUGUGAAUUGCAGAAUUCCGUGAAUCAUCGAAUCUUUGAACGCACAUUGCGCCCUCUGGCAUUCCGGGGGGCAUGCCUGUCCGAGCGUCAUUACGCACCCUCAAGCCCGGCUUGUGUGAUGGGCCCCGGCGUCUCGUUCGCGAGACGGGCCCGAAAGGCAGCGGCGGCGUCGACCCGAUGAGCCCGAGCGUAUGGGGACUUCUGUCACACGUUCGCGGUGCGGACCGGCGCCUGCUUGACUUUUCUGAUUAUCCAGGUUGACCUCGGAUCAGGUAGGGAUUCCCGCUGAACUUAAGC